UAGUCCGUACGAGCGCACCCUUGUCCCUAGUUGCCAGCACUUCGGGUGGGAACUCUAGGGAGACUGCCGGUGAUAAGCCGGAGGAAGGUGGGGAUGACGUCAAGUCAUCAUGGCCCUUAUGGGCAGGGCUACACACGUGCUACAAUGGCCGGUACAGAGGGCAGCGAAGCCGCGAGGUGGAGCGAAUCUCAGAAAACCGGUCGUAGUCCGGAUUGCAGUCUGCAACUCGACUGCAUGAAGCCGGAAUCGCUAGUAAUCGCGGAUCAGAACGCCGCGGUGAAUACGUUCCCGGGCCUUGUACACACCGCCCGUCACACCAUGGGAGUGGGCUGUACCAGAAGUAGGUAGUCUAACCUUCGGGAGGACGCUUACCACGGUGUGGUUCAUGACUGGGGUGAAGUCGUAACAAGGUAGCCCUAGGGGAACCUGGGGCUGGAUCA
Molecule: ribosomal RNA, 440 nt
Filed under: uncultured Chromatiales bacterium
Lineage: Bacteria; Pseudomonadati; Pseudomonadota; Gammaproteobacteria; Chromatiales
Description: bacterial SSU rRNA
Rfam family: Bacterial small subunit ribosomal RNA
Source: RNAcentral